CCUACGGGAGGCAGCAGUAGGGAAUCUUCCGCAAUGGACGAAAGUCUGACGGAGCAACGCCGCGUGAGUGAUGAAGGCUUUCGGGUCGUAAAACUCUGUUGUUAGGGAAGAACAAGUACGAGAGUAACUGCUCGUACCUUGACGGUACCUAACCAGAAAGCCACGGCUAACUACGUGCCAGCAGCCGCGGUAAUACGUAGUGGCAAGCGUUAUCCGGAAUUAUUGGGCGUAAAGCGCGCGCAGGCGGUUUCUUAAGUCUGAUGUGAAAGCCCACGGCUCAACCGUGGAGGGUCAUUGGAAACUGGGGAACUUGAGUGCAGAAGAGAAAAGCGGAAUUCCACGUGUAGCGGUGAAAUGCGUAGAGAUGUGGAGGAACACCAGUGCGAAGGCGGCUUUUUGGUCUGUAACUGACGCUGAGGCGCGAAAGCGUGGGGAGCAAACAGGAUUAGAUACCCUGGUAGUCCACGCCGUAAACGAUGAGUGCUAAGUGUUAGAGGGUUUCCGCCCUUUAGUGCUGCAGCUAACGCAUUAAGCACUCCGCCUGGGGAGUACGGUCGCAAGACUGAAACUCAAAGGAAUUGACGGGCGCCCGCACAAGCGGAUGGUAUGCAUGUGGUUUAAUUCGAAGCAACGCGAAGAACCUUAC
Molecule: ribosomal RNA, 646 nt
Filed under: bacterium JL35-34
Lineage: Bacteria
Description: bacterial SSU rRNA
Rfam family: Bacterial small subunit ribosomal RNA
Source: RNAcentral